GACGAACGCUGGCGGCGUGCCUAAUACAUGCAAGUAGAACGCUGAAGGAGGAGCUUGCUUCUCUGGAUGAGUUGCGAACGGGUGAGUAACGCGUAGGUAACCUGCCUGGUAGCGGGGGAUAACUAUUGGAAACGAUAGCUAAUACCGCAUAAGAGUAGAUGUUGCAUGACAUUUGCUUAAAAGGUGCAAUUGCAUCACUACCAGAUGGACCUGCGUUGUAUUAGCUAGUUGGUGAGGUAACGGCUCACCAAGGCGACGAUACAUAGCCGACCUGAGAGGGUGGUCGGCCACACUGGGACGGAGACACGGCCCAGACUCCUGCGGGAGGCAGCAGGAGGGAAUCUUCGGCAAUGGACGGAAGUCUGACCGAGCAACGCCGCGUGAGUGAAGGAGGUUUUCGGAUCGUAAAGCUCUGCUGUAAGAGAAGAACGAGUGUGAGAGUGGAAAGUUCACACUGUGACGGUAUCUUACCAGAAAGGGACGGCUAACUACGUG
RNAcentral lists this ribosomal RNA (495 nucleotides) under uncultured bacterium. RNAcentral's name for it is "partial 16S ribosomal RNA". It matches the Rfam family "Bacterial small subunit ribosomal RNA", at positions 28 to 507 of the family's 1533-position model. The record is from RNAcentral.